AGCACUAGUGGCCAAUCCUCCUGGAUAAUCUUCAUGUUUAGUAAAUAGAUGGAUAUCUUUCUCUUAGACAUCGAUACAAUCCUCCAGAAUGCCAGUUGUCUUCUCUGCUUGUCACAGAGUACUCAAGGAGGUUUGUAGAAGGUUGCCGGGUUUUUCACCCGCUGAAGUGUUGGAUUUUGGUGCUGGCAUGGGUUUGGCUUUCUGGGCACUAUGAGAAGUCUGGCCGAAUUCCUUGGAGAAAGUUAACUUAGUAGAGUCAUCACAAUCAAUGCAGCGUGCAGGCCAGAGCCUUAUACAAGGUACACCUUUUGUGGGCUGGCAACAAUGAUUCUGAUCAAUGAGGUCAAUUGUUUGGACUUGCCUAGACUAAUUGAUUGGUUGGUAUUUCGACAAGGGAAGGAAUGUGGAUUUCAGGGGAGGACUAAUAAGUUAGUUGAUGGUUGCUACUCUUUCUGGCAGGGAAGUGCAUUUGCAUUAUUACAAAGAAUACCUUCAGUUAGUGAGGAGCAAAUUGUGCUACCGGAUGUGGGACACUGCAUUUUGGAUACCUCACACACUUCUACAACAUCUCGUAUAUCUGAAGUGGACAACAGUUCUGAAGGUACUUCA
This is a long non-coding RNA of Rosa rugosa (rugosa rose), 609 nucleotides long. RefSeq lists it as uncharacterized. The transcript is spliced from 6 exons. Lineage: Eukaryota; Viridiplantae; Streptophyta; Magnoliopsida; Rosales; Rosaceae. The record is from RefSeq and is a predicted model, not a curated record.